UGGGGAAUAUUGCACAAUGGGCGAAAGCCUGAUGCAGCAACGCCGCGUGAGUGAUGAAGGUCUUCGGAUUGUAAAGCUCUGUCUUUUGGGACGAUAAUGACGGUACCAAAGGAGGAAGCCACGGCUAACUACGCGCCAGCAGCCGCGGUAAUACGUAGGUGGCGAGCGUUGUCCGGAUUUACUGGGCGUAAAGGGUGCGUAGGCGGAUGUUUAAGUGAGAUGUGAAAUACCCGGGCUUAACUUGGGUGCUGCAUUUCAAACUGGAUAUCUAGAGUGCAGGAGAGGAGAAUGGAAUUCCUAGUGUAGCGGUGAAAUGCGUAGAGAUUAGGAAGAACACCAGUGGCGAAGGCGAUUCUCUGGACUGUAACUGACGCUGAGGCACGAAAGCGUGGGUAGCAAACAGGAUUAGAUACCCUGGUAGUCCACGCCGUAAACGAUGAGUACUAGGUGUAGGAGGUAUCGACCCCUUCUGUGCCGCAGUAAACACAUUAAGUACUCCGCCUGGGAAGUACGAUCGCAAGAUUAAAACUCUAAAGUGAAUUGACGGGGUC
RNAcentral lists this ribosomal RNA (551 nucleotides) under uncultured bacterium. Its description in RNAcentral is "partial 16S ribosomal RNA". It matches the Rfam family "Bacterial small subunit ribosomal RNA", at positions 355 to 920 of the family's 1533-position model. The record is from RNAcentral.